This is a long non-coding RNA of Acromyrmex echinatior (Panamanian leafcutter ant), 556 nucleotides long. NCBI's taxonomy places the organism in Eukaryota, Metazoa, Arthropoda, Insecta, Hymenoptera, Formicidae. The record is from RefSeq and is a predicted model, not a curated record.
ACUCGAUUGCGCGAGAACGGUCGGUCGAAACAGGACAUACGUAAGCACAUUAGUCCCAUUUAACACGUUCCAGUGGCUUUGUCUACGGUAUCAUGUGUGUUUGUGGUAUAAGCGUCGAAUAAUUGGGUUGUCGGGAGCAUGUAGGAGCAUUCGGACGUAGGUGGAAGAGGAAGAUAGUGUCUGUGAGCGUAAGCGAAGUGCGCGAAGAACGGAAUACGCUGCGUUCCUUUGAUGAGAGAUAGUAAGGAUGACGACGCACUGUAAGCCGACUGUAAGGAGACUGCGUGUAACUACGGGCCGUUUACAACACAGCGGGUCUGAUCUUGCAAGGGAGCCCCCCAGGGCGAGUUAGACUAGACAAAGCCAUUGAGAGGAUGUCGCCCGCUGGGGGGUACAGAUAGGACAUACGAUGCUCCCUCUUCCUUCUCCUCCACAAGAUGAUAUCGUAUCUCCUCUACGUCCCAGGAUGAUGCUUCGUCUCGUUCUAAAGAAAAAGCCCCAGUUUGGAACUCCAGUUUGUAGCUUCGCGCUAAAUAAACUCAUCAUAUUUACAAAA